This 145-nucleotide unclassified non-coding RNA is filed under the name soil metagenome. Its description in RNAcentral is "partial internal transcribed spacer 1". The record is from RNAcentral.
UAAUAAGUGCUUUAUGGCACUUUUUAAAUCCAUAUCCACCUUGUGUGCAAUGUCAGUCGAUCUUCUUCAUGGAGAUCGACCAACCAUCAACCUUUAUCUUUUAACUCUUUGUCUGAAAAAUAUUAUGAAUAAACAAUUCAAAAUA